This is a long non-coding RNA of Limulus polyphemus (Atlantic horseshoe crab), 1229 nucleotides long. RefSeq lists it as uncharacterized. The transcript has 2 exons. Lineage: Eukaryota; Metazoa; Arthropoda; Merostomata; Xiphosura; Limulidae. The record is from RefSeq and is a predicted model, not a curated record.
AGUCAUGUAAUUCACCCUCACAGAACGAAUAUAAAAAAGUGUAUUCUGAUUGGUGUAAUGAAUUUGAAAAGUAUAAAACUGAAAUGAAAUUAUGGCAGAACAACCAAGUGAAAUGUCAAAGUCCACAUCCAAAUGAUGUUACCUACCUUGGAGAUUCACCACAUCUAUGACGGAAUGUAGCACCGUGAAACAUAACUUAUAACUUUUCAAACAAUGUUGAUAAUUCUUAUUGCUGUGCAUAGGUUUUUUAAUAUAAAGUGCUUUGUAUCAAACAACUGACCAAAAGAGUCAAGAAAAUUAUUUCAGUUGGAGUAAGAGAAUCAUAUUUGAAACUUUACAAAUAUCUCUUCUUCUUAACAUAAAUCAGGCAUUGUCAUCAUUGUGAUAUUACAAGUGGUGUAGGUGACUAAGCCAGUCUGAGUGCCAGUACAGUUUGCUAUUUGUAAAUAUAUGUGUAUAAUGAACUUCACAAACACACACACACACACACAUGCACAAAAAGUUAACUUUGGUUGUUAUCAUGCUUUCUGAUUCAACAUAGUGUAGCUAUAAUCACUACUUGGGAGGUUACUCUGAUGAUAGUCGUAACAAAACACCUCUUCACCUGUCAACAAAUGCAACCACAGUCAGUUAUACUGAUGAUUAGUGGCUGUGAUAAUUAGAGUAAAAAUUAAUUUUGUACGAACUGUAUUAUGGACUGGUGGCUAUAACCAUUAUAAUAACUAGUUACCAAGAAGCUACAGUACUUGUUAGUGUAUCUAUAAACUGUUUGGAUGAGUUUUUAAGAUGUCUACUAAAGAGUAAAUCGUUCUCUCCAUGGUACAACGUGCCAGGGUUUUAUGUUAAACCUGAGGAUCUUCGCUCCUGUGUAGUUAACAACUUUCAAAGUACAGUUUCAUUUCUUGUUUCAAUAAACUGCCAAAGUGAGGAAUUUCUGGUGCCAGGAUGAAAAUUUUCUUUUUUUUAUUCUUUUGAGUAAGGUCUCAAAAGUAUUGUGUGUGUGUGUGUGGUAUUAUUCUAACUACAUAAAGAUGAAAGAACAUUUUAAAUGACUGGAAUGGGGAAUUAUUAAUAAUUCUUGUGGCGUAUAAAGGCAUCAAGAUACCCAAUAAUUCCAUUAACACAUUAAAACUGAAGCCACACAAAAGGCAGCAAUUACCAGUAAUGAUUCUAAAUGUAAUUAGAUUAAUAAUAAAUAACCUUUAAAUAAAUAUUAUUCAAUAAAACAA